Molecule: transfer RNA, 81 nt
Filed under: Ceraceosorus bombacis
Lineage: Eukaryota; Fungi; Basidiomycota; Exobasidiomycetes; Ceraceosorales; Ceraceosoraceae
Rfam family: tRNA
About the family: Transfer RNA (tRNA) molecules are approximately 80 nucleotides in length.
Source: Rfam by way of RNAcentral
GGUGCUAUAGCGUAGUGGUUACGCAGUGUACUGUUAAUGCAUGGCCUUAGUCCAACGAAAGUUCGAUUCUUUCUAGCACCU